GACGAACGCUGGCGGCGUGCUUAACACAUGCAAGUCGAACGGAAAGGCCCUGCUUUUGUGGGGUGCUCGAGUGGCGAACGGGUGAGUAACACGUGAGUAACCUGCCCUUGACUUUGGGAUAACUUCAGGAAACUGGGGCUAAUACCGGAUAGGAGCUCCUGCUGCAUGGUGGGGGUUGGAAAGUUUCGGCGGUUGGGGAUGGACUCGCGGCUUAUCAGCUUGUUGGUGGGGUAGUGGCUUACCAAGGGUUUGACGGGUAGCCGGCCUGAGAGGGUGACCGGCGAAAUGGGGACUGAGAUACGGAGCAGACUGCAAAGGGAGGCAGCAGGGGGGAAUAUUGCACAAUGGGAGGAAGCCUGAUGCAGCAACGCCGCGUGCGGGAUGACGGCCUUCGGGUUGUAAACAGAUUUCGCCUGUGACGAAGAGUGAGUGACGGUAAUGGGUAAAGAAGCACCGGCUAACUACGUG
This 468-nucleotide ribosomal RNA is filed under the name uncultured bacterium. RNAcentral's name for it is "partial 16S ribosomal RNA". It matches the Rfam family "Bacterial small subunit ribosomal RNA", at positions 28 to 507 of the family's 1533-position model. The record is from RNAcentral.